GCGGCUAUAGUUUAAUGGUAGAGCGACUGACUUCCAAUCAGUAAGCGUCGGUUCGAUUCCGACUAGCCGCU
This 71-nucleotide transfer RNA is filed under the name Tupiella akineta. RNAcentral's name for it is "tRNA-Gly". It matches the Rfam family "tRNA". From Rfam's summary of the family: Transfer RNA (tRNA) molecules are approximately 80 nucleotides in length. Their secondary structure includes four short double-helical elements and three loops (D, anti-codon, and T loops). Lineage: Eukaryota; Viridiplantae; Chlorophyta; Ulvophyceae; Ulotrichales; Tupiellaceae. The record is from RNAcentral.